Long non-coding RNA from Salvelinus sp. IW2-2015, 2741 nucleotides. RefSeq lists it as uncharacterized. The record is from RefSeq and is a predicted model, not a curated record. Lineage: Eukaryota; Metazoa; Chordata; Actinopteri; Salmoniformes; Salmonidae.
CAUACCACAUGAUACAAAGAAUAUGUUAGUAACAGGGGGAGAGAGCAGGAAUUGUGCAGUUUCCCCCCGGUUUCAACUGUUUCUGAAGGGAAGGGCUCUUACUCCUGAAUUCCUUCUAUGAGUCACAAGUUAAGUAUGCUCCUCCCAUUAUUUUGUAUCUCAGACUCUGACCCCCUUUCUUUAUCCUCAACAGCCAUCCCUUUUGGUCUCACUUUUCUGUCCUCCCUCCCAGUCCCCCUCCUGUCUAUCCAGCUACAAAUGUACAAACACCGCCUGAUAUCGCUUUCUUACCCCCUCUUCCAACUUUGGUGACUGGACCAACCAAACCCUCAAGACUGCCAUGGGCAAGUCCCUUGAUUGGUACCAGGAAGGGUGGGAGAACAACCUGAAGGUAAUUUUCUCUUUGCACACAGCAGCAUCCAGGCCUCCACCGACUGCGAACGUGAGCCGCAGCUGUUGACUGAGAUCACUGAAACUCCACCUGAUGUGGUGGAAGUUGUCAAACCCGAUCAGACCGCCUUAAAAGACCACCAUCAGGCGUAGACUGAGAAGGAUGUGGAGGUUUUUGACCAGAUGAGACUGAACAUGGACAAGGCACAGGAGAAACAGAAGGAGAGCUACCAGUGCAGACUCAAGAUGGGGACCAAGUGCUACGACAUGCUGGCGAAUGACUUGGUUUAGAAGAAGAACAAAAGGAAGGCGAGACCUGGGAAACCUCGCUGCUUUUUUGCUCCUGGUCACCAUCUGUUAAAGGUUACCUCGGUGGAAGCCAACAAUCUUCUACAGUUGGAGCAGCUGGACGGUCAACCUCUGAAAGCACUGACGCCCUACACUUCAGUGAAGCCCAAUAGACAAAGAUCAUAGUCUGCUUCUUCGUGCUCUGAGUCGGAGGGGGACCAGCUUGAGGAGCUAGGGGUUCUGCCUAACACCCAGACGUGGAUCCACCUGAUGUCCUACAUUACCAACCACCAUUCAAAUGUUCAUUACAUCGGCAAAUGUUGUCAUUAUCUGUUAUGUUUUCUUGCUCUAUCAUAAUGUGAGACCCAGAUGAACAAAAAAAAGAAACGGAUUUGCAUAUGAAUGGAGUGGAAAUUAGCUGACUUCGUAAUCUGUAAAGUAAAUAACUUUAAUGUGUCAAGCAGAUGACACUUUCUUUGCCAGUUCUGUAACGUAGCGAUGUUUAAGACAUGGAUUUCAUGUUGUAAUGUUAACAAGGUACCCAAAAGUAGGUUGAAUUAAUGUUUUCAUUUUAUUAGUUAAGCAACUUGUUCAAACAGUGAAAUUGUGGAGGAAAUCUGCCUUGUUUGCAUAGCGAUGAUGACAAGAAUGUCAUUUAGGCUGUAAUCUCAAACUCUAAUCAUUAGGUCAUCACACUGUUGAUACAGCAACGGACGCUAAUAGUUUUUAGAAUCCCGUUGUGACGCAGAGGAGGACACUUUUUGUCAUGACAGGCCCGAUUCCUUCCUUGGGCGGAGUAUGCCCAGAAUUAGUAGUGUCAUUCCUCCACCGGGCUGACUCCCUUCCAGUGUAUUCUGGGUUACCAGCCAGCCCUGGCACCAUGGACUCCAAGCCAGACCGAAGCGCCAUCCGCCUCAGAAGGAGCAGGCGGUUCGCCACAGCAGUGAGGCGUGUCGUGGAUAUUCUAAUCCAUAAUGAGGAGAGACAUGAACCAUUAACAAUCAGAUAUUCUUUAUUCAAAAAAUAUUAAUAAGGGAGCAAGUCACCAUUACACACAGAGUGAAUAGAGAGCUCAGAGAUUCUGAGUUGGGGCUUGCUUUGUAUAGCCCAACCUUGUUACAUUUACUUAAUCCACCACAACUGUCUCAAUGUGUCGAACCAACUGAUAUCUACUGGAUGAGGUGGCCAAAUAUUCUGAGUUCUCUUGUGAGUAUUAAGAACUGUUUGGUCUUAGAAUAGAGGAUAAGGAAAGACUUUGUUCAGAACAGAGAUGCCUCGUAUUUUGAACAUGCAAGUUUUAGAGUAGAGGGUGGGGUUAAGAACACGAGACGUGCAUAGCCGUAGUGGAUUCGGUACAGAGUUAGGUGAAAACAGCAAUUUACACAACCAGAGUAACAUGAUAGUUAUGUACAAUCAUUUAAAGUAAUAAAUUGUUUUUUUCCCACAGGCGCCCAUGUUCGAUCCUGGUGAUCACAUCUGGCUCUCCAUCAGGAUCCUCCCACGCCGUCUGCCAUGCCAGUGGUUCCUGGUCCCCUGGCUGACGAUGUCCCGCACAACACUCCUCCACCUCUCCUGGACAUUGAGGAAGCCCCGCCUAUGUCAUGACUCCUGCGUCAUGGGGGGUCGGCUUCAGUACAUGGUGGACUGGGAGGCGUAUGGUCCAGAAGAGCGGUGUUGGGUUCCAGUGGAUGACAUUCUGUAUCCCAUUCUGGAUUUCACCUUCCGGAUCACUCCUCGCCCUCGGGGGGCCACACUCUCAUCAGUCACAACUGGACCUCAUUACUCCCUGCUUACUUACCCUUCUAAUAGCAAUCUUUUGUUACUAGUUUUCAGCAAGUAUUGUUUGUUUCCAUGUCAGACGCUUCUCUUGUUUUGUAUCAUUCCAUGUUCAUUGAUAUUAAACUCACUAACUGCACCUGCGUCUAUGUUACACCUUAUAUGUUGCGUUUAUAUUUUCAUUCAGUAUACAUUCCCAUGUGCAUCCCCAUAUUCAUCUUCCUUGGUGUGUUUAAAUAAAGUUCCUUUGUAACUCUAAGGCUGCUUUAUUUCCUUCUAACUGGGGG